This 253-nucleotide ribosomal RNA is filed under the name uncultured bacterium. RNAcentral's name for it is "partial 16S ribosomal RNA". It matches the Rfam family "Bacterial small subunit ribosomal RNA", at positions 524 to 776 of the family's 1533-position model. The record is from RNAcentral.
UACGGAGGGUGCGAGCGUUGUCCGGAAUUAUUGGGCGUAAAGGGCUCGUAGGCGGUUUGUCGCGUCGGGCGUGAAAACUCAGGGCUCAACCCUGAGCGUGCUUCCGAUACGGGCAGACUAGAGGUAUGCAGGGGAGAACGGAAUUCCUGGUGUAGCGGUGGAAUGCGCAGAUAUCAGGAGGAACACCGGUGGCGAAGGCGGUUCUCUGGGCAUUACCUGACGCUGAGGAGCGAAAGCAUGGGGAGCGAACAGG